Molecule: ribosomal RNA, 427 nt
Filed under: uncultured bacterium
Lineage: Bacteria
Description: bacterial SSU rRNA
Rfam family: Bacterial small subunit ribosomal RNA
Source: RNAcentral
UGGGGAAUUUUGGACAAUGGGCGCAAGCCUGAUCCAGCAAUGCCGCGUGCAGGAUGAAGGUCUUCGGGUUGUAAACUGCUUUUGUACGGAACGAAACGGCUCUGGUUAAUACCUGGGGCUAAUGACGGUACCGUAAGAAUAAGCACCGGCUAACUACGUGCCAGCAGCCGCGGUAAUACGUAGGGAGCGAGCGUUAAUCGGAAUUACUGGGCGUAAAGCGUGCGCAGGCGGUGAUGUAAGACAGAUGUGAAAUCCCCGGGCUCAACCUGGGAACUGCAUUUGUGACUGCAUGGCUAGAGUACGGUAGAGGGGGAUGGAAUUCCGCGUGUAGCAGUGAAAUGCGUAGAUAUGCGGAGGAACACCGAUGGCGAAGGCAAUCCCCUGGACCUGUACUGACGCUCAUGCACGAAAGCGUGGGGAGCAAACA